RNAcentral lists this ribosomal RNA (500 nucleotides) under uncultured bacterium. RNAcentral's name for it is "partial 16S ribosomal RNA". It matches the Rfam family "Bacterial small subunit ribosomal RNA", at positions 30 to 523 of the family's 1533-position model. The record is from RNAcentral.
AUUGAACGCUGGCGGAAUGCUUUACACAUGCAAGUCGAACGGCAGCACGGACUUCGGUCUGGUGGCGAGUGGCGAACGGGUGAGUAAUGUAUCGGAACGUGCCCAGUCGUGGGGGAUAACGUAGUGAAAAUUACGCUAAUACCGCAUACGAUCUAUGGAUGAAAGCGGGGGAUCGCAAGACCUCGCGCGAUUGGAGCGGCCGAUAUCAGAUUAGGUAGUUGGUGGGGUAAAGGCCCACCAAGCCAACGAUCUGUAGCUGGUCUGAGAGGACGACCAGCCCAACAGGAACUGAGAGACGGUCCAGACUCCUACGGGAGGCAGCAGUGGGGAAUUUUGGACAAUGGGGGAGAGCCUGAUCCAGCCAUUCCGCGUGCAGGAUGAAGGCCCUCGGGUUGUAAACUGCUUUUGUACAGAACGAAAAGGUUUCUACUAAUACUAGGAGCUCAUGACGGUACUGUAAGAAUAAGCACCGGCUAACUACGUGCCAGCCGCCGCCGUAA